This 158-nucleotide ribosomal RNA is filed under the name uncultured Russulaceae. Its description in RNAcentral is "5.8S ribosomal RNA". It matches the Rfam family "5.8S ribosomal RNA". Rfam says of the family: 5.8S ribosomal RNA (5.8S rRNA) is a component of the large subunit of the eukaryotic ribosome. The record is from RNAcentral. Lineage: Eukaryota; Fungi; Basidiomycota; Agaricomycetes; Russulales; Russulaceae.
CAAUUUUCAACAAGGGAUCUUUGGGUUCUCGCAUAGAUAAAAAACGCAGCAAAAUGCAAUACGAAAUGUAAAUUGCAAAAUUCAGUAAAUCAUGAAAUUUUUAAACGCCCCUGGCCCCCUUGGGCUUUCCAAGGGGCACACCCGUUUGAGUGUCGGAA